Molecule: long non-coding RNA, 462 nt
Filed under: Prunus dulcis (almond)
Lineage: Eukaryota; Viridiplantae; Streptophyta; Magnoliopsida; Rosales; Rosaceae
Description: sRNA ncRNA
Source: RNAcentral
CUCUCCUUCUGUCUCUCUUCCCUUUUCUCCUUUUCCCCCCUCUAUGUUUUCCAUUUCUCUUUCUCUUCCCCCUAUGUCUUCAAACAAACCAGGGUUGGGGUUUGUAUUCAUUGAGUUCGACACCCUUAUGAACAAUAACUAGAUGUGUGAUAUGUAUAUCGAGUGUGGAUGGAUCUUGGGUUGGGAUGGGACGGGAUGGGAUGGGUCUCGCGGGGUGGGGAUGCGGAGUUGUAUGGUGGCGUUGGGCUUGGUAGUUUUCUAGGUAGAGAGAAAAACAGAGGAUGAGGGAGAGAGAAAGGAAGAGAAGGAUGGAGGGGGAAGGGGGGACCUAAAAGUUGGGUCGAGGAAUUGGGGUUCUAUGAGGUUGAUUCAGUGAAUGGGGUGAAUUAGAGGGUGUGUGGUCGAUGGGGGUUGAGAGAGAGAGAGAGAGAGAUAGAGAGAGGGAGAGAAAGAGAGAGUUGG